Eucalyptus grandis is the source of this 430-nucleotide long non-coding RNA. RefSeq lists it as uncharacterized. Lineage: Eukaryota; Viridiplantae; Streptophyta; Magnoliopsida; Myrtales; Myrtaceae. The transcript is spliced from 3 exons. The record is from RefSeq and is a predicted model, not a curated record.
UGGCUCUCUAGUAAAAAAUUAACAAAAAAAAUCUAUUUUUCUGGUUGAAAACUCCUUUGUUUUCCUGACGAAUCUCUCUCAAGCGUCCGCGCACAUUUAUCAAUCUCUCUUGAAUGGCCUCACCGUCCGACGCCUCCAACCAGGAGGCUGUUGUGAGGAAGCAAAACAAAGGAGCCCCGAUUAAGUUCUUGGUCCCUCUUAUAUACGCCCCUGUUCUUCCUCUCAUUCGGCUCUCGUUGAGGAGGAACCCGGUGGUGAGGGAUCGUUUGUUUACCCUCGUCUUGGCUGGGGCUUUCGCCCAUGGGUUUUACUUGGUGUAUCCUUUUCCUUGCAUUCUUUUUCUUUUUUUGGUUGCAAUCUCGUGCUUUCGGCUGUUAUCUGUUCAUGGUGAUGAUUCGUUGUGUUUAUUAAAUCAUUUGUCUUUGAAUUA